GAUGAACGCUAGCGGCAGGCCUAACACAUGCAAGUCGAGGGGCAGCGUGACGGUAGCAAUACUGUUGACGGCGACCGGCGCACGGGUGCGUAACGCGUAUGCAACCUGCCUCCAACAGGGAGAUAAUCCGGAGAAAUUUGGUCUAAUAUCCCAUAAUAUACUGAACGGCAUCGUUUGGUAUUGAAAGAUUCGUUGGUUGGAGAUGGGCAUGCGUAGCAUUAGCUAGUUGGUGGGGUAACGGCCUACCAAGGCGACGAUCCAUAGCCGACCUGAGAGGGUGACCGGCCACAUUGGGACUGAGACACGGCCCAGACUCCUACGGGAGGCAGCAGUGGGGAAUAUUGCACAAUGGGCGCAAGCCUGAUGCAGCAACGCCGCGUGAGGGAAGACGGCUUUCGGAUGUAAACCUUUGUCUUGGUGAAGAAGAAAGUGACGGUAGCCAAGGAGGAAGCCACGGCUAACUACGUG
RNAcentral lists this ribosomal RNA (468 nucleotides) under uncultured bacterium. RNAcentral's name for it is "bacterial SSU rRNA". It matches the Rfam family "Bacterial small subunit ribosomal RNA", at positions 28 to 507 of the family's 1533-position model. The record is from RNAcentral.